Ailuropoda melanoleuca (giant panda) is the source of this 265-nucleotide long non-coding RNA. RefSeq lists it as uncharacterized. Lineage: Eukaryota; Metazoa; Chordata; Mammalia; Carnivora; Ursidae. The record is from RefSeq and is a predicted model, not a curated record. The transcript is spliced from 3 exons.
CUGGUGUUAUUUGUUUGUAUUUAGGCCAUAGCUUUUUACUUGGGAAAAAGAAAAGGAAGCCUCUCAAAGAUAAAGUUGGCCAGAGAUGAUCUUCUCAGUUUGAAAAUGAAGACAACCAGAAGGUGAUGCAAUGACUGUUGUCAUGUGCCAAGAGAGAUAUGGGAGAAAGAACAAGCCGAGGCAAGGGGUGAGAUUGACAGCUGGAUUUGAGAUUUUAUUUAUUUAUUUGACAGAGAGAGACAGCCAGCGAGAGAGGGAACACAAG